Non-coding RNA from Paramuricea clavata, 325 nucleotides. The record is from the annotation of a GenBank genome assembly. Lineage: Eukaryota; Metazoa; Cnidaria; Anthozoa; Malacalcyonacea; Plexauridae.
UUAUAAUGGGCCAUUCCAUUUAAUAUAGGCACCCCCCUAUUGAGGGGUCUGGAUAUCCUAUGGGGGAGGGGGUUUUUACCUAAAAUUUUUCCAAAAAAUAGCAAAAAUUAGGUGUUUUAGUGAUAUCCAAGGGGGCAAAAACGAUAUCCUAAAGGGGGUAUCAAGAUAUCCAUGGGGUAACUUCCAAAAAUCACAUCCAAGGGGGUUCUAAAAUGUUUAUAUCCUAAGGGGAUUUGGAAGGGACCCCUCAAUAGGGGGCUGCCUGGCUAUAUUUAAUAAAUGGAAUGGCCCAUUGAUGGAGAUGGCAACAUCAUAUUAAAGAUGG